GACGAACGCUGGCGGCGUGCUUAACACAUGCAAGUCGAGCGGUAAGGCCCUUUCGGGGUACACGAGCGGCGAACGGGUGAGUAACACGUGGGUGACCUGCCUUUAGCUCUGGGAUAAGCCUGGGAAACCGGGUCUAAUACCGGAUAUGACUCCGCGGCGCAUGUUGUGGGGUGGAAAGCCUUGUGCGGCUGGAGAUGGGCCCGCGGCCUAUCAGCUUGUUGGUGGGGUAAUGGCUCACCAAGGCGACGACGGGUAGCUGGUCUGAGAGGAUGGCCAGCCACAUUGGGACUGAGACACGGCCCAGACUCCUACGGGAGGCAGCAGUGGGGAAUAUUGCGCAAUGGGCGAAAGCCUGACGCAGCGACGCCGCGUGUGGGAUGACGGCCU
RNAcentral lists this ribosomal RNA (387 nucleotides) under uncultured bacterium. RNAcentral's name for it is "bacterial SSU rRNA". It matches the Rfam family "Bacterial small subunit ribosomal RNA", at positions 28 to 417 of the family's 1533-position model. The record is from RNAcentral.